RNAcentral lists this ribosomal RNA (253 nucleotides) under uncultured bacterium. RNAcentral's name for it is "partial 16S ribosomal RNA". It matches the Rfam family "Bacterial small subunit ribosomal RNA", at positions 524 to 776 of the family's 1533-position model. The record is from RNAcentral.
UACGUAGGGUGCGAGCGUUAUCCGGAAUUAUUGGGCGUAAAGGGCUCGUAGGCGGUUUGUCGCGUCGGGAGUGAAAACACCGGGCUUAACUCGGUGCUUGCUUUCGAUACGGGCAGACUAGAGGCAUGCAGGGGAGAACGGAAUUCCUGGUGUAGCGGUGAAAUGCGCAGAUAUCAGGAGGAACACCGGUGGCGAAGGCGGUUCUCUGGGCAUGUCCUGACGCUGAGGAGCGAAAGUGUGGGGAGCGAACAGG